This 674-nucleotide ribosomal RNA is filed under the name bacterium 154_xplvp377. RNAcentral describes it as "bacterial SSU rRNA". It matches the Rfam family "Bacterial small subunit ribosomal RNA", at positions 50 to 719 of the family's 1533-position model. The record is from RNAcentral. RNAcentral also lists the same sequence under 1 other name.
UACACAUGCAGUCGAACGGCAGCACGGGGGCAANCCCUGGUGGCGAGUGGCGAACGGGUGAGUAACAUAUCGGAACGUGCCCUGGAGUGGGGGAUAACUAGUCGAAAGAUUAGCUAAUACCGCAUACGAUCUACGGAUGAAAGUGGGGGAUCGCAAGACCUCAUGCUCGUGGAGCGGCCGAUAUCUGAUUAGCUAGUUGGUGGGGUAAANGCCUACCAAGGCAUCGAUCAGUAGCUGGUCUGAGAGGACGACCAGCCACACUGGGACUGAGACACGGCCCAGACUCCUACGGGAGGCAGCAGUGGGGAAUUUUGGACAAUGGGCGCAAGCCUGAUCCAGCAAUGCCGCGUGAGUGAAGAAGGCCUUCGGGUUGUAAAGCUCUUUUGUCAGGGAAGAAACGGUGAGGGCUAAUAUCCNUUGCUAAUGACGGUACCUGAAGAAUAAGCACCGGCUAACUACGUGCCAGCAGCCGCGGUAAUACGUAGGGUGCAAGCGUUAAUCGGAAUUACUGGGCGUAAAGCGUGCGCAGGCGGUUGUGCAAGACCGAUGUGAAAUCCCCGGGCUUAACCUGGGAAUGGCAUUGGUGACUGCACGGCUAGAGUGUGUCAGAGGGGGGUAGAAUUCCACGUGUAGCAGUGAAAUGCGUAGAGAUGUGGAGGAAUACCGAUGGCGAA